GAAGUUGGAGUCGCUAGUAAUCGCAGAUCAGCAACGCUGCGGUGAAUACGUUCCCGGGCCUUGUACACACCGCCCGCCACGUCAUGAAAGUCGGUAACACCCGAAGCCGGUGGCCUAACCCCUUGUGGGAGGGAGCCGUCGAAGGUGGGAUCGGCGAUUGGGACGAAGUCGUAACAAGGUAGCCGUACCGGAAGGUGCGGCUGGAUCACCUCCUUU
RNAcentral lists this ribosomal RNA (216 nucleotides) under Nocardia cyriacigeorgica. Its description in RNAcentral is "partial 16S ribosomal RNA". It matches the Rfam family "Bacterial small subunit ribosomal RNA", at positions 1322 to 1533 of the family's 1533-position model. The record is from RNAcentral. Lineage: Bacteria; Bacillati; Actinomycetota; Actinomycetes; Mycobacteriales; Nocardiaceae.